RNAcentral lists this unclassified non-coding RNA (218 nucleotides) under Hevea brasiliensis (rubber tree). Lineage: Eukaryota; Viridiplantae; Streptophyta; Magnoliopsida; Malpighiales; Euphorbiaceae. The record is from RNAcentral.
AAGAAACUCAGAACUUCAGUUGUUACAUGAGUCAUUAGCCAAGGAUUCAGAAACUAAAAUGUUGGAAGCAGUAGCGAAGUUCACCAACAAAGAAUCUGAAGCUAACUCUCUAGUGGAGAAAACUAAAGUUCUUGAAGAACAAAUAAAAGCUUAUGAGGAUCAGAUAUCUGAAACCAAUGGAAGAUCUGCAGCUUUAAAGGAAGGAUUGGAUCAGGCUU